Molecule: unclassified non-coding RNA, 333 nt
Organism: Ursus americanus (American black bear)
Lineage: Eukaryota; Metazoa; Chordata; Mammalia; Carnivora; Ursidae
Gene: 7SK
Rfam family: 7SK RNA
About the family: 7SK was discovered as an abundant small nuclear RNA in the mid-70s but a possible function has only recently been suggested. Two independent studies have found that 7SK RNA binds the CDK9/cyclin T complex (known as elongation factor P-TEFb).
Source: Ensembl
GGAUGUGAGGGCAAUCUGGCUGUGACGUCUGUCACCCUAGGUUGACCUGAUCACCACGGUUGACUCAGCUGAUCUGGCUGGCUAGGCAGGUGUCUCCUUUCUCCUCCACCACUCCAUGUGUGUCCCUCCAAAGCUGUGCGCCCAAACAGGACGAUCUUCCCUGAUGGCGGAGGACUGUUCUUCAGUCAAGGGUACACAAGUAGCUGCGCUCCCCUGCUAGAACCUCCGAAGCAGCUCUCAAGGUCCAUUUGCAGGAAAACGUAGGGUAGUCAGGGUUCCAAGACUCUAGACACAGCCCGGUGAGGCACUGCAUGUGGCAGUCUGCCUUUCUUU